RNAcentral lists this ribosomal RNA (492 nucleotides) under uncultured Sphingobacteriales bacterium. RNAcentral describes it as "bacterial SSU rRNA". It matches the Rfam family "Bacterial small subunit ribosomal RNA", at positions 885 to 1382 of the family's 1533-position model. Lineage: Bacteria; Pseudomonadati; Bacteroidota; Sphingobacteriia; Sphingobacteriales. The record is from RNAcentral.
AGCCCGCUCAGAACUCAAAGGAUUGACGGGGGCCCGCACAAGCGGUGGAGCAUGUGGUUUAAUUCGAUGAUACGCGAGGAACCUUACCUGGGCUCAAAUGUAUGUUGACGUAUUCUGAAAGGGAUACUUCUUCGGACAAUAUACAAGGUGCUGCAUGGUUGUCGUCAGCUCGUGCCGUGAGGUGUCGGGUUAAGUCCCAUAACGAGCGCAACCCCUACCUUUAGUUGCCAUCAGGUAAUGCUGGGGACUCUAAAGGAACUGCCUACGCAAGUAGUGAGGAAGGCGGGGAUGACGUCAAAUCAGCACGGCCCUUACGUCCAGGGCUACACACGUGCUACAAUGGCCGAUACGGAGGGCAGCUACCUGGUGACAGGAUGCAAAUCUCCAAAGUCGGUCUCAGUUCGGAUCGGAGUCUGCAACCCGACUCCGUGAAGUUGGAUUCGCUAGUAAUCGUGCAUCAGCCAUGGCGCGGUGAAUACGUUCCCGGGCCUU